Molecule: ribosomal RNA, 492 nt
Filed under: uncultured bacterium
Lineage: Bacteria
Description: partial 16S ribosomal RNA
Rfam family: Bacterial small subunit ribosomal RNA
Source: RNAcentral
AGUGAACGCUGGCGGUAGGCCUAACACAUGCAAGUCGAACGGCAGCACAGUAAGAGCUUGCUCUUACGGGUGGCGAGUGGCGGACGGGUGAGGAAUGCAUCGGAAUCUACUUUUUCGGGGGGGAUAACGUAGGGAAACUUACUCUAAUACCGCAUACGCCCUACGGGUGAAAGCAGGGGAUCUUCGGACCUUGCGCGAUUGAAUGAGCCGAUGUGGGUUUAGCUAGUUGGCGGGGUAAAGGCCCACCAAGGCGGCGAUCCGUAGCUGGUCGGAGAGGAUGAUCAGCGACAUUGGAACUGAGACACGGUCCAGACGACUACGGGAGGCAGCAGUGGGGAAUAUUGGACAAUGGGCGCAAGCCUGAUCCAGCCAGCCCGCGUGGGUGAAGAAGGCCUUCGGGUUGUAAAGCCCUUUUGUUGGGAAAGAAAAGCAGCAGGUUAAGACGCCGCUGUUCUGACGGUACCCAAAGAAUAAGCACCGGCUAACUUCGUG